GACGAACGCUGGCGGCGUGCCUAAUACAUGCAAUUAGAACGCUGAAGGAGGAGCUUGCUUCUCUGGAUGAGUUGCGAACGGGUGAGUAACGCGUAGGUAACCUGCCUGGUAGCGGGGGAUAACUAUUGGAAACGAUAGCUAAUACCGCAUAAUAGUAGAUGUCGCAUGACAUUUGCUUAAAAGGUGCAAUUGCAUCACUACCAGAUGGACCUGCGUUGUAUUAGCUAGUUGGUGAGGUAACGGCUCACCAAGGCAACGAUACAUAGCCGACCUGAGAGGGUGAUCGGCCACACUGGGACUGAGACACGGCCCAGACUCCUACGGGAGGCAGCAGUAGGGAAUCUUCGGCAAUGGACGGAAGUCUGACCGAGCAACGCCGCGUGAGUGAAGAAGGUUUUCGGAUCGUAAAGCUCUGUUGUAAGAGAAGAACGAGUGUGAGAGUGGAAAGUUCACACUGUGACGGUAUCUUACCAGAAAGGGACGGCUAACUACGU
Molecule: ribosomal RNA, 494 nt
Filed under: uncultured bacterium
Lineage: Bacteria
Description: partial 16S ribosomal RNA
Rfam family: Bacterial small subunit ribosomal RNA
Source: RNAcentral